AACCAUGGGCAUAAAAGGUGUGAAAAUUGAGUCCACAAGUGCUCUCCUGCUUGUGAGAUGCUCACCACUGCAAUCGCAAAUAAAAGGUUACUUCACUGAGAUCCUUGCCUGAAGCCUGUGUUAUUGGCCAGCGAGUGUUUCUCACAAUCUGGGAGCUCGUCUGGGAUCCAGUGGUCUACCAGGGACCCUGUCACUGCAGCAGCAGGAAGGGGCACCCUGCUGAUUUCAGUGAUCCUGUGCACUUGACAGCAGUGGUUCUAGGGAGAGCUGACAGAGGGCCAGAGACUGGUUAAAGAAGCAAGAUCCAUGAAGUACUGUGAGAAGGGAGGCACUCUGGGUUGGAGAAUUGACCCGGUAACUUUGUGCACAGACCAAGGAUUCAGCUCAAACACCAUCCUUGGAAUUCCCACUACGCCCAUUCCAUGCAGGAGACUGGGUUCUGAUGCAUACCUGGAAGGAGACGGUCCUGAUGCAUACCUGGAAGGAAUCAAAGCUCCGGCCUGAAUGGGAAGGACCAUUCCAAAUACCACUUACUACUGAAACAGCUGUAAGAACGGCGGAGAAAGUCUGGACUCAUUAUACACGAGUAAAGGCAUCCAUCAGUCCCAAUACCUGGGAAGUUGUGCCUACAGAAGACUCACUGAAGAUCAAAAUCAGAAGGCAGGCUUCCUGAUAGACUCUGUGUACAGGCUCAUAAUUGUAAAUCAAUGCAUAAUUAUUUAAGACUUAAAGCUUAAAAAUGGCAAUAGGGGAAGGCCAAUUAUUAGCCUUGAUCCUGGUGGCUAUAUGCCUUAGAGAGAACUUCUGCCAAAUAAUCACUUGUCAAAGAGGUGAUUGGGAAAUAGGAGCAGUGGGGUAUCCCAUCAAGAUAUGGGUAAAUAUGACAAAGAAUGAAUUACCACAAAACAUCACGUUUGAUGCUUGUGAGGUGUUGACUUGUGGGAACUUAAAUGCUCAACAGCAAUUGAGCAGUGAGAACAAAUAUCUUUGUCCUAAACCUAAGACUAGUGGAUUGUUUAAAGCCCCCCUUGCCCAGGAUGGAGUAGUGUAUGGUGGAUGACCACUUGCAAAGGGUGAACGUAUACACCCAGCUCAAGUAAUAGCCUAAAAGGGUUAAAGAGCCAAAUUAGCAUAUUUAAAGGAACUGCUCAGCCCAACUGCCAACCUCUACAAUGUAAUCCAAUAACUAUAACAAUUAAUGAGGCUGAUGACCUUAUUAACCAUACCUUUGGUCUCGGAGCAGAUGUGACUGGGAUUGACCCAACAGCCAGGUUUAGGAUAGCUGUAUGGGAAUUGUCCCCUAAAGUCACCUAAGAUGGGGAGAGACUCUAAGAUGGGGAAGUCCUCUUCAAAGUCCUACAGUUAUAAAAGUUGGAAAAAUAAGAAAGGAUCUCAGGCAAACAUCUGAAAUUGAUAUGGGGUGUGUAUAGGGAUGCAAAUGCCUGGAUAAAAUGGGUCAAAUAUUCUAUCCAGAGCCUCAAUCAUAGCAAUUGCUAUGGGAAGACCGAUUGCCCAGGUACUGCCCUUUCCAUUGGGAUGGACCAAGGGUUCCUGAGGGAUCUGGCUGGGGUUUGGGGACUGGCUGCUCAGGGAUAGGUUGGGCAUUGGUCAGCGGGUGGUGAGCAACUGCAUCGUGCAUCACUUGUUUCGUACACAUUAUUUUUAUUAGUACUAUUAUUAUUAUUAUUGUAUUCCUUUCAUUUCUGUCAUGAUAAACUGUCCUUGCCUCAACCCACAA
Non-coding RNA from Anas platyrhynchos (mallard), 1738 nucleotides. The record is from RefSeq and is a predicted model, not a curated record. Lineage: Eukaryota; Metazoa; Chordata; Aves; Anseriformes; Anatidae.